Molecule: small nuclear RNA, 237 nt
Filed under: Carassius auratus (goldfish)
Lineage: Eukaryota; Metazoa; Chordata; Actinopteri; Cypriniformes; Cyprinidae
Description: U2 spliceosomal RNA (ENSCARG00000026070.1)
Rfam family: U2 spliceosomal RNA
About the family: U2 is a small nuclear RNA (snRNA) component of the spliceosome (involved in pre-mRNA splicing).
Source: Rfam by way of RNAcentral
AUCGCUUCUCGGCCUUUUGGCUAAGAUCAAGUGUAGUAUCUGUUCUUAUCAGUUUAGUAUCUGUUCUUAUCAGUUUUCGAAAGAAAAUCUGUUUAUCAGUUUAUAUCUGAUACGUCCCCCAUCCGGGGACUACAUAUUAAAUGGAUUUUUAGAUCACGGAGCUGGAGCCGGGGCUUGCUCCGUCCACUCCAUGCAUCGGCCUGGUAUUGCAGUGUCUCCAGGAACGGUGUGCUUUCC